UCGAAGGGGGGCAGGCAUGGGAAGCAAGCCCUAGGUCCCAAUCAGGGGCACCAGCCUCGGAGCCGGGCCUGGGAGGCAGCCUCACCAGCUCACAUGGCACUUCUCUGUCCUUCCAUAGUGUUCCAGCACUCAUGCCUGAAUCCAGUCUCCCAAGGUCUUUCAUCCAAUCAAAUGUUUAUGGAGCACAUCCUAUGUCAUCGUAGCCCAGGAAGUGGGUAGGGAAGAAGGCACAAGCACUCCCGGUCCUCAUGGGACUUGAGUCAGUGGUGGUGAUAGAAGAAAAAGGCAAGGGGACACACAAAGGAUUGCAAAUUGCGAUCACGAACAAAGCAGAUGACGAGAUAAGGGAGUGGAGAGAGGGACCGACUUCAUUUAAAUAAACUCAUUCUUACAAGGACUGUUCGGGCUGCCAGGAAUGGCAGUUUUCAGGAGUACCAGUGGAAAAAAAUGAGUAUCCUUCACAACAGAACCACAAAGAAAGAUCCUAAUGAAUGAGUUUGCUAAUUGAUCACCAUUUUGACUGAUGCAAGUUGCAAGAGGAUGUUCAAUUUGUUAACAUUCACCUCGCUGUACUGAUAACAUAUGAACAUUUAUGCAUGUAUGACACUUAACAAAGUUAAAAAACAGCAAUUCAUUUAUUGCUAGAACAAUCAGAAAAUGCAGUAAAACAACAAGAAGUACAUAAAAACCACCAUUAUUUCCUGAAAAUCUUUGUUGGAAUGUUUCAAUCCACCGAUUCUUCAUCUGUUUAUCUGUAUUGAUGUGAUAGAUUUAAAGAUGUGAUAGAUUAAAGACAACCCCAUUAA
Callorhinus ursinus (northern fur seal) is the source of this 806-nucleotide long non-coding RNA. RefSeq lists it as uncharacterized. The record is from RefSeq and is a predicted model, not a curated record. NCBI's taxonomy places the organism in Eukaryota, Metazoa, Chordata, Mammalia, Carnivora, Otariidae.